AUUGAACGCUGGCGGCAUGCCUAACACAUGCAAGUCGAACGGCAGCGCGUUUGGGGUAACCCAAAUGGCGGCGAGUGGCGGACGGGUGAGUAAUAUGUAGGAAUCUGCCCAGAGAUAAGGGAUAACUUAGGGAAACUUAAGCUAAUCACAUAUAAGCCCGAGAGGGGAAAGCAGGGGACCGUAAGGCCAUGCGACUUUGGAUGAGCCUAACUCGGAUUAGCUUAUUGGUGUGGUAAAGGCCUACCAAGGCGACGAUCUGUAGCGGGUCUGAGAGGAUGAUCCGCCAGACUGGGGCUGAGACACGGCCCAGACUCCUACUGGAGGCAGCAGUGGGGAAUAUUGGACAAUGGGGGGAACCCUGAUCCAGCCAUGCCGCGUGUGUGAAGAAGGCCUUAUGGUUGUAAAGCACUUUAAGCGAGGAGGAGGCUCUUUUGGUUAAUACCCAAGAUGAGUGGACGGUACUCGCAGAAUAAGCACCGGCUAACUCUGUGCCAGCCGCCGCGGUAA
This 507-nucleotide ribosomal RNA is filed under the name uncultured bacterium. Its description in RNAcentral is "partial 16S ribosomal RNA". It matches the Rfam family "Bacterial small subunit ribosomal RNA", at positions 30 to 523 of the family's 1533-position model. The record is from RNAcentral.